GAUUUCAUGACAAAGGCACCAAAAGCAAUUGCAACACAAGCAAGAAUGGACAAAUAGGAUCUAAUUAAAGUUAAAGAGCUUCUGCACAGUAGAGGAAACUAUCAACAGAGUGCACAGACAACCUACAGAAUGGGAGAAAAUUUUUGCAAACUAUGCAUCUGACAAAGGUCUAAAUCCAGCGUCUAUAAGAACUUGCAUAGCUUGAAUCAGUCCUGCAUCCCAGGAAUAAAGCUUAAUUGAUCAUGGUGAAUUCACUUUUUGAGAUAAAAGUGGUGUGGCCAAGAAUGGAAUUGAGAACACUGCCUCCAAUAAGACAAAACUAAAUAAGCCAAAUGGUGGAAUUUCAAGGCCUAUACACCGUGUCUGGGUUUCACGGGUGUUCAAAACAAGGUACAGUGUAAUGCAGGGAACUUGAAAAGCAGAGCGUUUGACCUCAGCAUCCUGAAAUCAGGUGUGAGAAGAAGAAAACAAGACACCUUGUAAUUAAGACAGAUCCAAGACCAGAUUAAUAAUAAAUAUGGCAGGAAACAUUGGGAAGUGUCACCCUAGAGGCCGAACCAUGGAUUUUAAUAUGUAUCCUUUCAAUUAGCCAUUGACUCUGUGGACAUCCUUUCAUACUUAAUGGAAGCAGCCUAUGUUAAAAUUCAAAUAAAAUCUCA
This 659-nucleotide long non-coding RNA is filed under the name Homo sapiens (human). RNAcentral describes it as "HSALNT0244536". Lineage: Eukaryota; Metazoa; Chordata; Mammalia; Primates; Hominidae. The record is from RNAcentral.